AGGGAUAUCUUUGCAUUUAACAUGAAAAAUGUACACCUGUGCAUUGUCAACAAGGUUAUGCUUUUGUUGGCUAUCUAGACCUCAAUGAUUUAUCUGUCAUUAAUGCCACUGGUCACUGGCCCAUGUUUCCAGUAGCAAGAUUGAAAAGAGGAAGACGUAUGUUACUGGGGGGUCUCUAAUCCCUCACCUGGACUAUUCUAAGCAAGAAAAGGUUAAAUGACUUGUGCACUGGGAAGAAAAAAAAAAAAAACAGUUGUCAUCCGUGGUGCCAAAAAUAGAAGUUCUGAUUUCCAGUCCUGUGAUCUCAACAGAAGACAGAAUGUUCACUCUAUCUGACUGAUACAAAAUACAACUUCUCCAAGGACUCUAUUAUUUUGAACUACUGUAAAAUUGAAUAAAACAAGUGUGUCUGGAGUUUGUUCCUGCUGGUGGGUUUGUGGUCUCGCUGACUUCAAGAAUGAAGCCAUGGACCUUUGCGGUGCUGCACAUAUGCCAGGAGCUGAUUCAGUGGUUUCAUCCAAAUGUAAAGCAAAAUAUGGAAUUAUUUCAACAUAUAAUAAUAACUACUGUUACACUUAUGUAAG
This 584-nucleotide long non-coding RNA is filed under the name Homo sapiens (human). RNAcentral's name for it is "HSALNT0369427". The record is from RNAcentral. Lineage: Eukaryota; Metazoa; Chordata; Mammalia; Primates; Hominidae.